GAUGAAGAACGCAGCGAAAUGCGAUACGUAAUGUGAAUUGCAAAUUCAGUGAAUCAUCGAGUCGUUGAACGCACAUUGCGCCCCCUGGUAUUCCGGGGGGCAUGCCUGUCCGAGCGUCAUUGCUGCCCUCAAGCACGGCUUGUGUGUUGGGCCCCGUCCUCCGAUCCCGGGGGACGGGCCCGAAAGGCAGCGGCGGCACCGCGUCCGGUCCUCGAGCGUAUGGGGCUUUGUCACCCGCUCUGUAGGCCCGGCCGGCGCUUGCCGAUCAACCCAAAUUUUUAUCCAGGUUGACCUCGGAUCAGGUAGGGAUACCCGCUGAACUUAAGCAUAUCAAUAAGCGGAGGA
This 345-nucleotide unclassified non-coding RNA is filed under the name soil metagenome. Its description in RNAcentral is "partial contains 5.8S ribosomal RNA, internal transcribed spacer 2, and large subunit ribosomal RNA". The stretch from base 1 to 119 matches the Rfam family "5.8S ribosomal RNA", at positions 35 to 154 of the family's 154-position model. The record is from RNAcentral.